This 3282-nucleotide long non-coding RNA is filed under the name Triticum aestivum (bread wheat). Its description in RNAcentral is "long non-coding RNA (TAES_LNC021591)". The record is from RNAcentral. Lineage: Eukaryota; Viridiplantae; Streptophyta; Magnoliopsida; Poales; Poaceae.
AUCCCGGUAGCGACUGCCCCGACGACGCCAUGGCAGACAGGCUCGCGUCCGAGUCGCCGCAGUGCCUCAGGUAGGACUGCCGGAAGGACUGGGCCAGGUUCAGGCUCGCGUCCGACUCGCCGCCGUGCCGCAGCAGCUGGGACUGCCGCUGCUGUGGUGACUGAGGAGCCAUGGUGGACAGGCUCGGCCCCGACUCCCCGCAGCGUCUCAGGUACGCCGAAGACCGAUGCUGGCUGGACGAGCCCAGGUAGUAGCCCGACGACGAUCCGUACCCAGAGUUGGAGAUGUAUGAAGGACCGGCAUGCGGGCUGGGCGACCCAUAGCCGGAAUUGUACAUCUGUGGUGGGGCAUAAGCAUAACUUAUGUUGACUGGUGGAGACAGGUGGUUACCGACCAGGGAGUGUGUGAGGCAGAUGGGGAUUGGGAGCUCGGUACGGCGGCCGGGAACGAGCAGGAGGAUUAGGAGCCGUGGAGGGGCGCUGCGGCCGGCGACGGCGAGCCAAGAGGAAGGCGCCGGCAUUCCUCAGCCAUUCGCGCCGUCUGCUCACCCUACUCAUCAUGCAUCUCUCUAGUCUACAAUUUCAACCUAUUGUACUUAUCGAUUUUUGAGUUUAUCCUUCUAUUUUUGUUCAAGAUUUCGACAUUUUUUCAUUGAUUUCUCUAUUUUUCAUGUGGUGAUAUACACUAGUAGUAUCCGAGUAUGAUUUAAGGACCAUCUUCAAUCAGCUAGAAAAAAAUUCCAACCCAGUCAUUUCACUCUACACCGUUAGAUCGGAAUCCAACGGUUCACCCUUUUUCUUUAACCUCCAGCGGUUCUUCUCCCACACAACCCUGUACCACCCGGCUGCGCACGCAUCCCCCAUCCUGCCCUGCCCUGCCCUACCCUCAUUGUGUUGUCGUCGCCCUUGGCCAUCGCCAUGAUUUCGUCGCCAUCAACCAUCACACACUCGAACCCAUCGAAGCACCGACUCGACACGUUGUUCAUGCCAUGGCCGGCUGUGGCGUCCCAUCUCCUCCUCGUGCGCGCCAAAAACUGUUUUCAGUUGACUGACAAAUUUGAUGGUUGACAAUUAACCAUUUGGUGAUGAAACCUUCAACCAUGACUGCUCUCUCGUUAUCAGUCACAUAACCCAAAAAUCUGAUAUUUUCCGUAAACAGCAUUAAGCUUACUCGUCUACUUAAAAACGAAGGCAAAAUGGGCCAAGAGGAAUUUGCUCUGUAUGUAGGAGUACAAACAUAAGAUGAGCGCUCAUCAUCCAAUUUUUACUAUUCCUUUCAAGUUGCGACCAUUUGAUGAUUUGAAUUUAUAAAGGUUGUGUUGGUAGACUGAAUCCACUUAAAACUAUAGCCCCAAAUUCAACACUAAACAUUGUGUGAUUGCGAGAUUACACAUGUUUUGGUGGUUCCUUAUUCCGAGACUGUCACCCAAACUUGCUUGUCAGAUACUCCCUUUGUCCCAUAAUAUAAGAGCAUUUUCACCGAAUAUCCAAUUCCGAGCCCAGGCUCAUCUUCACCCGGUCAAGAAAUAAUUGAUAAAAAAAAUCAGAAAAAUCCAAUUUUUUGUGCAUGGUAGAUAAUUUGGUGUGUGAGAUGCGCUCCAAAUUUCAGAGCAUUUGGACAUUUGAGUAGCUCUCAGCAAAAAUGACAAAUUGGGUCAGGACAGUAUACAAAUAGUACACUAUUCAAGAGACCCCAAAUUUGUCUUUUUUGCCGAGAGCUACUUAGAUGUCCAAAUGAUUUGAAAUUUGGACCAGACAUCACGCACCCAAUUAUCUACCAUGCCAAAAAAAUUGGAAUUUUUUGAAUUUUUCUACUAUUUGUUUUGAUUUUUUUAUUCAGCGCAGGUGCAGAUGCUCCUGGGAGCCAAAACGCCUCAUUCCAUUUUCACACUACACUGAUGUCAAAAACUUAUAUUAUGGGACGCAGGAGUACAUGAUACAACAGUUGUUGCCAAGAAAACUGACACAAUCCCUAACAAAACAAUACAACAGAGGAGUUUUUUUUCUUCACUUUGCACACAUUCGACGAUAAACUCGGCCAAAAUUGAUUAAGUUUACACAUGUUUCUCAAUAAAUUUGAUCAAACUUAAAUAAGUUUGAUUUAAUGCGGAAUAAAUGAGCCCCAUGAACCUGGACGAAGAGUAGUGAUCAAACCGAAUCAUAUAUGCCUACUCUCUGUCUGUCCGCGAAUAAGUGUACAUUUGGCUUUAAAAUUUAUCCAUAAAAAAGUGUACUUCAAUCUUUUUAAUGCACUUUAAAUUGGAAAAAAAGUUUAUGUCCCAUCAUACGGUAAUCGAGACCAAUAACAUUCAACACCUCAUCUCCUUAAUUUCUACAUGCUCAUUAGGGGUUGGAUAACUAAAGAGGAAAGAGAUAGUGGUUUGCAUCUUCCCAAUGCAUUUUUUAUUCCACUUCAUAAUAUGUUUCUUAAGAUUUCUAUAUGUACACUUAUUCGUGGACGGGGAGAGUAUACGCCAGGCCUGAUGCAUCUAAAACCAACUUUACCAUGACUUUCCACUUCCAUAAUCACCAAGGCAAAGCUCAAAAACAUCAUCCCUACGCUGUCUUAUAUACCUGUAAUGUACAUCCAUAAGCACGGAAAAUAAACACAAGCAAUCACUAGAAGCACACACCAAAAAAAAAUCCACAACAAAAUCUAUGCAAUUCUCUCUCUCUCUCACUGACUCACUCUUCAGGCAACCAAUUGCCUAUGUUACAGUUACACGCCGCCCUCGAUAUAUUCACAAGCCAUGCCGUCUCUUUCGCGCGCAACGAAGAAGAGUUCAGGGCGAGCUUCUGACUCGCCAUAAUCAACAUCCCGGUAGCGACUGCCCCGAAGAAGCCAUGGCGGACAGGCUCGCGUCCGAGUCGCCGCAGUGCCGCAGGUAGGACUGCCGGAAGGACUGGGCCGACGACGCGCCCGCCAGGUUCAGGCUCGCGUCUGAGUCGCCGCCAUGGCGCAGCCGCUGUGAGUGGGACUGCUGCUGCUGUGGCGACUGAGGGGCCAUGGUAGACAGGCUCGGCCCGGACUCCCCGCAGCGUCUCAGGUACGCCGAAGACCGAUGCUGGCUGGAUGAGCCCAGGUAGUAGCCCGACGACGAUCCAUAUCCCGAAUUGGAGAUGUAUGAAGAACCGGCAUGCGCGCUGGGCGACCCAUAGCCGGAAUUGUACAUCUGCGGUGGGGCAUAAGCAUAACUUAUGUUGACUGGUGGAGACAGGUGGUUACCGACCAGGGAGUGUGUUGAACCUCCGCGGAGGAGUGAGGUGCGGAGGUAGGGCGAAG